GACCUGCGGAGGAUCAUUACCGAGAUAGGGUCCCCUGGGCCCAAACCUCCCACCCAAUGUGUACCUACCUUUGUUGCUUUGGCGGGCCGUGGGGCCUCGGCCCCCCGUCGACCUCGGUGGACGUGCGCCCGUCAGAGACCCCCCAAACUCAGUUCAUCAGUGACGUCCGAGCGAAACACAAAUCGAAGCAAAACUUUCAACAACGGAUCUCUUGGUUCUGGCAUCGAUGAAGAACGCAGCGAAAUGCGAUAAGUAAUGUGAAUUGCAGAAUUCAGUGAAUCAUCGAAUCUUUGAACGCAUAUUGCGCCCCCUGGUAUUCCGGAGGGCAUGCCUGUUCGAGCGUCAUUACACCCCUCGAGCCUAGCUCGGUGUUGGGCGUCGCCCCCCGGGGGUGCACCCGAAAGUCAGCGGCGGCGCGGUCGGUCCUCAAGCGUAGUAAAACUUUUCGUUCCGCUAUGAUGGCCCGGCCCCGUCCGCCGGACAACCCCCCCACUUCCACGAUUGACCUCGGAUCAGGUAGGGAUACCCGCUGAACUUAAGCAUAUCA
Molecule: ribosomal RNA, 547 nt
Filed under: Trapelia corticola
Lineage: Eukaryota; Fungi; Ascomycota; Lecanoromycetes; Trapeliales; Trapeliaceae
Description: eukaryotic LSU rRNA
Rfam family: 5.8S ribosomal RNA (bases 192-345)
Source: RNAcentral